UAAAUCCUGAAGUGUGCGUCGAGGUAUUAUAAUUCAACCUACGUUAUGACAUUGGGAGCCUGGGUUUUCUCAGCGGCUGUCAUGCCUCCUAAGUGUGGAAGACAAAAGUGGAAACAGGGCACCCCCCUAUUUUAGGAUAGGGUGUGAAUUAUAUCCUCGACGGCAUAUCGGGAUUAUU
Molecule: non-coding RNA, 178 nt
Filed under: Clostridiales bacterium
Lineage: Bacteria; Bacillati; Bacillota; Clostridia; Eubacteriales
Description: 6S RNA
Rfam family: 6S / SsrS RNA
About the family: E. coli 6S RNA was the first non coding RNA to be sequenced, but its function was unknown until recently. It consists of 184 nucleotides that fold into an extended hairpin structure with a large single-stranded internal bulge. The 6S RNA specifically associates with RNA polymerase holoenzyme containing the sigma70 specificity factor.
Source: RNAcentral